This is a long non-coding RNA of Tupaia belangeri chinensis (Chinese tree shrew), 767 nucleotides long. RefSeq lists it as uncharacterized. The record is from RefSeq and is a predicted model, not a curated record. The transcript has 3 exons. NCBI's taxonomy places the organism in Eukaryota, Metazoa, Chordata, Mammalia, Scandentia, Tupaiidae.
CCAGGGAGAGGAGGGGCGGGGCGGGGCGGGGCUUUGCGCAGACGGACGGGAUGUCCUGCCAGGGCCCGGAUGUGGUUCCGAACCAGAGGUGUCAGGACGCAGCCUUCACCUCCCCGAGAUCCGGGAUUGCAGGCCUGCAGGACUCGAGGGGUAUUUUGAGCAGGGGAACCCGGGCGUUUCCGACCUACACUGUGACCUAAGCCCUACUGGUCUGUGCCUGUUUCCCCGCCCAGGACCCAGGACCGGGCUCUGUCGCCGGCCGCUCUCCUGGGGUCUUGUGACCGCCUGGGCGAGCAGUGAGUGCGGAGUCUGCACAGCGCGUGGUCUGCUCGCCUUCGAUGCAGUGGCGGUAUUUUACUGAGAAGCAGUUGUCAUCCUCUUUAUUCAGGAGCUGUUUACUCGGUGCCGAUGUGUGGGGUUCCAGGCUAUGAACUGGGGACAAAAUAGAGGCACCCUCUUCUCUCUGAAACUGCGAGUUUGUGAAGGAGGCAGACCAGCGUACACGGCACGUUUCCUGUACGAAUACAAUCAUCAGAGGAUUCACCUCUACGCCUCACCCAGCUUUCCUGAGGUUACCGUUUCCAUCGUCUUGCUCACAUUUGUAGUGACCAGACCACACUGGAGAGCAGUCAAGUAACUUGUCCCAAGGUCGCAGAGCCUACUUACUGAGUGGCCAACUGGAAUUUGAACCCAGGCGGCCUGGCUCUAGAGUCUGUGCUUCAAAUGGGGACACAAGUAGGACCCAGAUCAUAUCGGAGCUUGCUGAA